GGUUAAGCUUUGACUAAGCGUACACAGUGGAUGCACGGCGAUCCCAGAGGGCGAUGAAGGGCACUGUCUGCGAUAGCGCCCGGUAAGGUGAUAUGAACCGUUAUAUGGCGAUGCAGAUAGGGAAACCCAGUGUGACUCGUCACACUAUCAUUAACUGAAUCCAUACUGGAGUUAAUACUGGGCGAACCGGGGAGACACAAGAGCAUCUAAGUACCGAGGAAAGAAAUCGAAAGCGAGAUUUCCCCAGUAGCGGCGAGGCGAACGGGAGGAGCCAGAGCCUGAAUCAGCAUGUGUGUUGAGUGGAAGGCGUCACGGAAAGGCGCGCGCGUGCAGAAGUGACAGCCCGUACACCAAAAGCGCAUGCUGUAGGCUCGAUAGUAGGGGGCGGGACACGUAGUAUCCUGUCACCAAGAUAUAGAGGACCAUCCUCCAGGCUAAAUACUCUGACUGACCGAUAGUGAACCAGUACCCGUGAGGAAAGGCGAAAAGAACCCCGGCGAGGUGAAAAGAACCUGAAACCGUGUACGUACAGAAGCGGUAGGAGCCCCUGCAAAGCGAUUUCGCUUUGUAUGGUACAAAAAGCGUAACGGCAGCACUUUGAAUGACGGUUAACAGGCGCAAGCGACGAUUCAACGCAUACAAAGUCAAGCGAUGGGCAACUUCCAAGGGUAGGAGUGACUGCGUACCUUUUGUAUAAUGGAGCCAGCGACUUAUAUUCUGUAGCAAAGGUUAACCGAAUAGGAGGCCGGAGAGCCGAGUGUAACCGGAGGCGUUAAGUUGCGAGGUAUGGGCCCGAAGCCCGGUGAUCUAGCCAUGGGCGGGUUGAAGGUUGGGUAGCACUAGCUGGAGAGACCGGGCGACUAAUGCAUCUGUAGAUAACCUAUAGCUAAGUGAAAAAACCAAUCAAACCAGGGAGAUAGCUGGUUUCUCCCCGAAAGCUAUUUAGGUGGCGCCUCGUGAAUUAAAAUGUCUCCGGGAGUGAGAGCACUUUAUUUCGGCUGAGGCCGCAUCCCGGCUUACCCGGCCGAUGCAAACUGCGAAUACCGGAGAAUGUUAUCACAGGAAGACACACGGCAGGUGCUAACGUCCGUCACGUGAAGAGGAAACAGCAGACCGCCAGCUAAGGUCCCAAGAGUCAUGAGUUAGGAAGUGGGAAACGAUGUGGGAAGGCCCAGACAGCGGGGAUGUUGGCUUGGCUUGGCCAUCAUUUAAAAGCGUAAUAGCUCACUGGUCCGGAGUCGGCCUGCGCGGAAGUUCAGGGUUGGGGAUCGGUGGGGGCGUUCACCUUGGCCUGUGAAGGUGGCCUGUGAGGGUUGCUGGAGGUAUGGAAGUGCGAAUGCUUGGCAUAAGAAGUAACGAUAAAGAAGCGGGUAAAGCCCGCUCGCCGGAAGACCAAGGGUUUCCUGUCAGCGUUAAUCGGGGAGGGCAGAGGUGAGUCAUUGUAGGCGGGCCGAGGCGUAGUCGAUGGGAAACAGGUUAAUAUUCCCGUACUUGGUAUUACUGCGAAGAGGGGACGGAGGAGAAGGCUAUGUUGGCCGGGCGACGAGAUUUGUCCCAGUUUAAGCGUGUAGGUGUGUGUUCGAUAAAAUCAGUUCACUUGUAACACUGAGGCGUGACGACGAGGCACUACAGUGCUUUGAAGCAACAAAUACCCUACUUCGAGGGGAAAGAAGCGCACCUCUAAGCAUCAGGUAACAUCAAAUCGUACCCCAAACCGACACAGGUAGUCAGUGCCAGAGAGGCCACCAAGGCGCUUGAGAGGAACUCAGGUAGAGAGGGGCUAGGCAAAAUGGUGCCGUAACUUCCGGGAGAAGGCACGCUGACACGUAGGUGAAGUGAUUUUACUCAUGGAGCUGAAGUCAGUCAAAGAUACCAGCUGGCUGCAACUGUUUAUUAAAAGAAGCACAGCACUGGCCAAACACACGAAAGUAGACUACGUAUACAGUGUGGCUUGUAUACUGCCCGGUACCCGGAAAGUUGUGAGUAUUAAGUCAGCGCAAGCGAAGCUCUGAUCGAAGCGGUAAACGGCAGCCGCCAACUAUAACAAUUACCUAAGGUAGCGAAAUUCCUUAUCGGGUAGAGAUUCCGGCCUGCACGAAUAGCAUAGUAAGUGGCGAGCUGUCUCACACCCGAGACUCAGUGAAAUUGAACUCGCUGAAGAUGCAGUAUACCCGCAGCAAGACGGAAAGACCCCGUGAACCUUUACUAUAGCUUGACACUGAACAUUGAGCACCCGGUAAUGUAGAGAUAGGUAGGAGGAAGCUUUUGAAGUAUGGACGCCAGUCUGCAUGGAGCCGACAGCAAGAAAUACCACCCUUUAAUAUUUGAUAUUCUAACGUGGACCCGUGCAGGUUGCGAGACGAAGUGUCUAGUGGAAGCCAGAUUUGACUAGGGCGGUCUCCUCCUAAAGAGUAACGGAGGAGCACGAAAAGGUUGGCUAAUCACAGUCGGACAUCAGGAGGUUAAGGUGCAAUGGCAUAAGCCAGCUUGACUGCGAGCGGCGGCGGCGCGAGCGGAAGGUACGCUUAGGUCGCCAAUGAUCGAGUAGUUCUGAAUGGAAGGGCCAUCGCUCAACGGAUAAAGGUAUAAAGGGAUAACAGGCUGAUACCGCCCAAGAGUUCAUAUCGGCAGCGGUGUUUGGCACUAUCGAUGUCGGCUCAUACAUCCUGGGGCUGAAGUAGGUCCCAAGAGUAUGGCUGUUGUUCGCCAUUUAAAAUUGGUACGCAGGCUGGGUUUAGAACGUCGUGAGACAGUUCGGUCCCUAUCUGCCAAAUGAGCGCUGGAGGAGAACUGAGGGCUGCUCUCCUAGUACGAGGAAGAGGACCGGAGUGGACAUCACUGGUGUUCAGGUUGUCAUGCCCGUGGCACUGCCCGGUAGCUAAAUGCUGGAAAGAGAUAAAGAAGUGCUGAAAGCAUACAAGUACGAAACUUUAACACGAGAUGAGUUCUCCCUGGGGACACAGGUCUCUCCUGAAGGAACGUUGAAGACGACGACGUUGAUAGGCCGAAGAUUGUGGCAAGCGCAGCCGGUGCGUUGAAGCUAACCGGUACUAAUGAACCGUGAGGCUUAACACG
RNAcentral lists this ribosomal RNA (3075 nucleotides) under Salmonella enterica subsp. enterica. Its description in RNAcentral is "23S ribosomal RNA". It matches the Rfam family "Bacterial large subunit ribosomal RNA". Lineage: Bacteria; Pseudomonadati; Pseudomonadota; Gammaproteobacteria; Enterobacterales; Enterobacteriaceae. The record is from RNAcentral.